Molecule: ribosomal RNA, 395 nt
Filed under: uncultured bacterium
Lineage: Bacteria
Description: partial 16S ribosomal RNA
Rfam family: Bacterial small subunit ribosomal RNA
Source: RNAcentral
AUACGUAGGGUGCAAGCGUUAAUCGGAAUUACUGGGCGUAAAGCGUGCGCAGGCGGUUUUGUAAGACAGUGGUGAAAUCCCCGGGCUCAACCUGGGAACUGCCAUUGUGACUGCAAGGCUGGAGUGCGGCAGAGGGGGAUGGAAUUCCGCGUGUAGCAGUGAAAUGCGUAGAUAUGCGGAGGAACACCGAUGGCGAAGGCAAUCCCCGUGGCCUGCACUGACGCUCAUGCACGAAAGCGUGGGGAGCAAACAGGAUUAGAUACCCUGGUAGUCCACGCCCUAAACGAUGUCAACUGGUUGUUGGGGAUUUAUUUUCUCAGUAACGAAGCUAACGCGUGAAGUUGACCGCCUGGGGAGUACGGCCGCAAGGUUAAAACUUAAAGGAAUUGACGGGG